Molecule: long non-coding RNA, 484 nt
Filed under: Equus asinus (donkey)
Lineage: Eukaryota; Metazoa; Chordata; Mammalia; Perissodactyla; Equidae
Description: lncRNA (ENSEASG00005036471.1)
Source: RNAcentral
CUGAGUUGGGAAGGGACGCACGCUGCUCUCCCAGACCACCAGCCUGACUUUGGAUGGCUCUCUCGUUAGGUGUUGUCCCUUACACUGGGCAACAGUCUGCUACCCUGCAACUCGGCUCGUCCUCUACAGCACGAUCAAGUACAAUAAAGCCACAAUCCAUGCAGGGAUUUGUUGUUAAAGCAGGCAGACAAGGAUUUGGAAGAAGAAAGAUCUGGAAGAAGAACAAGAACAGGAAGAAGGAGGAGGAGGUGGAGGUCAAAACCACUGCGCUAGCCCACAGUGGAAGAUCAACAUGAAAGAGCGCUGCAGGCGCAAGAGGUCUCAAGGCUGGGACUACGCAAGUCAUCAUUCUCAAGAAACAGACAGAGGAGGAUAAGCAGACCUGGAGGACCAUUCCCGAGUUUGUUUGGGGUACACUGAGUGUGCUGACAAGGCAUCCAUAUGGAGCUUCCGGCUCACCUGACUACCUGGCAGUGGUCAGCAU